AUUGAACGCUGGCGGCAUGCCUUACACAUGCAAGUCGAACGGUAACAGGUCUUCGGAUGCUGACGAGUGGCGAACGGGUGAGUAAUACAUCGGAACGUGCCUAGUAGUGGGGGAUAACUACUCGAAAGAGUGGCUAAUACCGCAUGAGAUCUACGGAUGAAAGCGGGGGAUCGCAAGACCUUGUGCUACUAGAGCGGCCGAUGGCAGAUUAGGUAGUUGGUGGGAUAAAAGCUUACCAAGCCGACGAUCUGUAGCUGGUCUGCGAGGACGAUCAGCCACACUGGGACUGAGACAAGGCCCAGACUCCUACGGGAGGCAGCAGUGGGGAAUUUUGGACAAUGGGCGAAAGCCUGAUCCAGCAAUGCCGCGUGCAGGAUGAAGGCCUUCGGGUUGUAAACUGCUUUUGUACGGAACGAAAAGCCCCGGGUUAAUACCCUGGGGUCAUGACGGUACCGUAAGAAUAAGCACCGGCUAACUACGUGCCAGCCGCCGCCGUAA
This 498-nucleotide ribosomal RNA is filed under the name uncultured bacterium. Its description in RNAcentral is "partial 16S ribosomal RNA". It matches the Rfam family "Bacterial small subunit ribosomal RNA", at positions 30 to 523 of the family's 1533-position model. The record is from RNAcentral.